AGAGAAGGUAGUUCAUUUAACAACGAUUUUCGUUGUUUCCAUUUCUCAAUAACUUUAAAUUUAAGAAGUCCUCCUAACAUAAUGUUAGCGUAGGAGGGAUUAAUAGUCCCGUAGCUCAGUUGGUUAGAGCACUACACUGAUAAUGUAGGGGUCAGCAGUUCAAAUCUGCUCGGGACUACUUAUCUAAGGAGUGUUAACUCAGUUAUCAAAACUCGAUAAUAAUCGAGAGGAUUUAGUUGAGAUUAAUUACUCUGAUGAAAUUACGACAAAACUAACGAGUUUUGUCUUUUUGACUUUACAGGGGGAUUAGCUCAGCUGGCUAGAGCACUUGCCUUGCACGCAAGGGGUCACCGGUUCGACUCCGGUAUCCUCCACAAUUUAAAGUUCUUUGACAUAUUGGAAUUGAUUGAAGUAGUAAUACAAAAGAGAAUAAUAAGAAC
This 440-nucleotide transfer RNA is filed under the name uncultured Cryomorphaceae bacterium. Its description in RNAcentral is "16S-23S ribosomal RNA intergenic spacer". The stretch from base 105 to 178 matches the Rfam family "tRNA". The record is from RNAcentral. Lineage: Bacteria; Pseudomonadati; Bacteroidota; Flavobacteriia; Flavobacteriales; Cryomorphaceae.